RNAcentral lists this small nucleolar RNA (148 nucleotides) under Carlito syrichta (Philippine tarsier). RNAcentral's name for it is "Small nucleolar RNA SNORA4 (ENSTSYG00000020240.2)". It matches the Rfam family "Small nucleolar RNA SNORA4". From Rfam's summary of the family: ACA4 is a member of the H/ACA class of snoRNA that guide the sites of modification of uridines to pseudouridines. Lineage: Eukaryota; Metazoa; Chordata; Mammalia; Primates; Tarsiidae. The record is from Rfam by way of RNAcentral.
UUACCAAAAGUUAAUUUUUGAGGAAAAAGGAUUUUUUAAAAAAAUAACCUUUACCAACUUGGGCUAUCUGGGAGAAUAAAGAAAAGACCAUACUCCACAGUGGGUUAUACCACUUAGUAUAGUUUAUGUCUAUUUUUUGGCCUAUAUU